AGAAGCAGACUAGUUUACUCGAAGGUGUGGCGUGUUUUGAUCGAUAAUACUUUGCUGGGGACCCGGUUUAUUUUAUUUAAUCGUUCUUACUGGCAAUUAUUAUAGCCAAAGCGAAACAAGCAUUAGAUUACCUAUGCAACUUUUUAAGCGAAAUGAGCAUUAAAUUUAUGCAAUUUUUUUUUAUAUAUAAUUGCUGCUUUUUCUUAAUUGUUUGGUGAUAAAUUUUUUGUUUUUAUGUAGAUCCAGUUCGAUUUAUUUUACA
RNAcentral lists this unclassified non-coding RNA (262 nucleotides) under Hevea brasiliensis (rubber tree). The record is from RNAcentral. Lineage: Eukaryota; Viridiplantae; Streptophyta; Magnoliopsida; Malpighiales; Euphorbiaceae.